This 459-nucleotide ribosomal RNA is filed under the name uncultured bacterium. RNAcentral describes it as "partial 16S ribosomal RNA". It matches the Rfam family "Bacterial small subunit ribosomal RNA", at positions 338 to 795 of the family's 1533-position model. The record is from RNAcentral.
CCUACGGGUGGCAGCAGUGAGGAAUAUUGGUCAAUGGGCGAGAGCCUGAACCAGCCAAGUCGCGUGAGGGAAGACGGUCCUGCGGAUUGUAAACCUCUUUUGUCAGGGAGCAAGGAGCGCCACGAGUGGUGCGGCGAGAGUACCUGACGAACAAGCAUCGGCUAACUCCGUUCCAGCCGCCGCGGUACUACGGGGGAUGCGAGCGUUAUCCGGAUUUAUUGGGUUUAACGGGCGCGAGGGCGGUCUGUUAAGUCAGCGGUCAAAGCCCGGGGCUAAACCCGGGCCCGCCGUUGAAACUGGCAGUCUCGAGUUGGAGAGAGGUAGGCGGAAUGCGCGGUGUAGCGGUGAAAUGCAUAGAUAUCGCGCAGAACUCCGAUUGCGAAGGCAGCAUGCCGGCUCCACACUGACGCUGAGGCACGAAAGCGUGGGGAGCGAACAGGAUUAGAUACCCUAGUAGUC